GACGAACGCUGGCGGCGUGCUUAACACAUGCAAGUCGAACGGUGAAGCGCCUUCCUUUUUGGUGGGUGUGGAUGAGUGGCGAACGGGUGAGUAACACGUGAGUAACCUGCCCCCUUCUUCUGGAUAACCGCAUGAAAGUGUGGCUAAUACGGGAUAUUCUGGGUCUGUCGCAUGAUGGGUCUGGGAAAGAUAUUGUUUCGGUGGGGGAUGGGCUCGCGGCCUAUCAGCUUGUUGGUGGGGUGAUGGCCUACCAAGGCGGUGACGGGUAGCCGGCCUGAGAGGGUGGACGGUCACACUGGGACUGAGACACGGCCCAGACUCCUACGGGAGGCAGCAGUGGGGAAUAUUGCACAAUGGGCGCAAGCCUGAUGCAGCGACGCCGCGUGAGGGAUGGAGGCCUUCGGGUUGUGAACCUCGUUCGCCAGUGAAGCAGGCCUGCCUCGUUUGUGGGUGGGUUGACGGUAGCUGGAUAAGAAGCGCCGGCUAACUACGUG
Molecule: ribosomal RNA, 494 nt
Filed under: uncultured bacterium
Lineage: Bacteria
Description: partial 16S ribosomal RNA
Rfam family: Bacterial small subunit ribosomal RNA
Source: RNAcentral